UGCUGGCAUUAAAGGCAUGUACUACCAGUGCAAGCCCUAUAAUUCUCGACUGUAGUGGUCAUCCGUGUUUUAAGAGUUUUGAUAAGUUUAUUUAUCAUAGAGAGCUAAGACCUUGAACUGUGACCUUCUGUAUACUUUCAGGUACCUGUUGAAAGUUGCAGAGCUAUUUGAAAAACUUAGGAAAGUGGAAGGUCGAGUCUCAUCAGAUGAAGAUUUAAAACUGACAGAGCUCCUCCGAUACUACAUGCUCAACAUAGAGGCUGCAAAGGUAAGGUAGAAUUAUCCAGCCCUUAGCACUAGUUCAUCUUGCCAUGACCAGAAAUUUAAUGCUUAAAAUAAUCCCUUUGUGUUAGAAAGGAAUGUCGCUUUAUUUCGAGGUACACUUUUUGCAGUAUUUCGUGUGUGCAUGUGAAGACCUGAAAACAAACAACCUUGUGGGUUUUCCCUCAUUGCCACACAAUUUUUACUCCCUAGUAAAACGGGUCAUUUCCUACAUUUCAGAAAUUUUAGGUUUUGUGUUAUAUUAGAAAUAAAUAUUUCCUUAUUUCCAGCUAGGUGGUUCCUUGGUACUGAUUUCCAAAAAUGGGAUUUGUGGGG
RNAcentral lists this long non-coding RNA (597 nucleotides) under Rattus norvegicus (Norway rat). RNAcentral describes it as "long non-coding RNA NONRATT019735". The record is from RNAcentral. Lineage: Eukaryota; Metazoa; Chordata; Mammalia; Rodentia; Muridae.